ACACGCUUCUCCGGGCCGCCCACAUCCAUACAUACACAUCCACUCCCAGCAAAGUUAAGUCCCCGGGCCGAGGUGGCCCCAGCGUCCUCACCUUUGGAAAAAAGGGCAGCCAGGCUGAUGAGCACGGGAGACCAAAGGCCCCACCCUUCUGGAGUGACAGCUGUGAGCCCCAAUCCGCAAAGUAGGUCCCACCUUCCUGGUUGCGGGGCGCCCAGCCUCCCUGUGCGCGAAUGGGAGGUGGAUACUCAGAAGAGGACAUGGAUACCAGCCAGCCCCGGAGAGCACGCGUGGGGACCAGCGUGGGUGUCUACACUCACAACAGGUGUCGAAAGGCCCUCUGCCCUGCUUUCUCAAAGCCUCGGGCUGCAGGCAGUCCUCAGGCAAGGACAGACAGCUCAGGACCCUUAACAUAAACGGAAGUGUUCCCAGUUGAUCUCUUGAAUGUGACCCUGGGAUCCCAAAAUGACUCCCAGAUUCCUGUCCCUGGAAGAUUUCCAUCCUGGCACCGCUCGAGGGAAGAUGUUGCGCUGAGAACCUGAUAGGCUCUCUGUUCAUGCCUUCUGGAGGCUCUAAGGCAAACUCGCACCCAGAUACCUAAUUCCCAGGCUAGAGUUCCGAGCUCAAGUCCUCCUCACUGCUAAGGGGAGCCUCGGAAACAAGUCGAUUCUAUGCGGAUUCAGAGAGGAAACCCAGACUCAGUUCAGCGGGGGAUUCACUUCUGAGGGUCCCGGUUGAACGCAGGAAGACCACCCCAGCUUAUUUUAUCACAAAGUCUGUGUUUGCUUGGCACAUAUGCCAAGCAAUAUGAGACGAGCCCAGUGUGAUUCCAUACGGCAACAACCAAGUGGAGGCUUCUUGGAUGGCAAGAAUGAAACGGAACUGUGUUCACUUGGGAAGGCUUGGACUUAGUGUGCCAUGAUGGCGUACGGUGCGCACUGACCACCCAAAGGUAACCAGAGCGCCCUUGGCAUCCUGUCAGAGUGCUAUGACUGUGGGCUUUGCUGGUCCUAGGAGAGGAACCCUAAUUCUUUUGCUCCUCAAUUGUUGCUUACUCUCUCUGAUAUUUGGUCUCUGCCCUUUCUGACACAAGACUGACCAGCUGUCUCCAGACAACUAACCAAGUGAUCAGAAUGCUUCUACAAGUGUCCCCCUCUGGCUACUAUUGUUUUCAGGACCAGAGAGGAUGGAAACUGAGGCUGCCAGGCUCAGGAGUCCAGAUGACACUGGUGCUGUGUCCAGUAGAGCAUCAUUUUGAUGUCAGGAGCCAACAAGUCUGUUUGGAGUGCUUACCUCCUCCAUGAGGCUGGAAGAGAUACUUCCAAGCUGGGGGCUGGAGCUGGGCCACCUUCAGUGAAGCUCUGUGUCAGCAUGGAGGAGCCAGAAGGUCAGCCAAAGCCCAACUUUCCCAGAACAAGACAGUAGCUGCCAUUUCUCCCAGCCAGUGGGUCCAAGCACAGUCGAGCCCUGACACUGCGGAAGCCUGAGCCACAAUCCUGUAAUGAGUGCAACAUUUGACAGGAGUCGGAAGGAUCAAUUCAUUCCCCUGGCCCCGCAUCCAAAUAGCUUGAUUUCUCUUGUCCAUUCAAAAAUCAAAUCUUCUAAUGGGCCCGAAAGGCUGCGUGCUCCAGGGGAGAGCUCACGACCGACCCGGCUUGCAAGAGGGCUUGCCACAAUACGAAACGCCUUCCUCUCCCAUCCCCACAUCAGAAAUCACUUAUUGAAUGGAUGUGCAGGGAGUUAAUCCUGCCUGGUAGGAAGGCUUAACAGCCACAGAGGGGGGAGUUCCAGCCACCAAUUUGUGAGUUUCUAACAUCAAAGCUCUGUAAACAGGCCGCAUUGUGGUCACUCACAGUGUGAGGCUCCGAGUGUAUUUCCUAUGGCCCAAUUUGGAGUGACUUAAAGGAGUUUCUAGGGUACGAACAUAUUGAAGUGUUGAGGAUGGGGGAAGCUCUCACUUAGAGAGACUCCCAUGAGGUACCACAAGCCUUCCAACACCACCAAGGUAAUAAAAGGGCCUCUCCAGCUUCCUUUAGGCACUGACCUCCCUAUACCGGUAGAGCUCUGUGUGAGAUUCGGGGAUGGAAUGUUAAGGACGCGCCUGACUGGCCUCUUACUCGGCACCAACCUGCCACUCAAAGUCGGUAUGGCCCCUCCUACACAAACACAUACAUGUCCUCAGGAAAACUCUAUCAAGUCUGCGCCAGCUUCCCGGUUUUAUCGAAAGGUCUGUGUUUGCUUGGCACUUAAGCCGAUCAAUAUGGGAUGCAUCCAGUGUGACUCCACACAGCCAGUGGCUUGUAAACUCCAAUUUGACUUGUCACAUGAGCAACGUCAGUCUCAGAAAAGAAAAAAAAACAGUGACUAGUGACUAAUGAUUCACUUGGGAGUGAGUUCUCUGGGUCUGAAAAUAACACAGAGGCAGUGACCAAGUGGUACCACCACUGAUGUGUGACUUCUCUUGUGGGGGAUGGUGGGGGCAAGGACAAGCAUCCGUUCACCCCAGGCACAGUGCCAGCGGCACACCACAGAAAUGAGUCCACCCAAGACUGGCUUCCUCGUGGUUUCGUGUGUUCGGGGUCACUCUUAAGAGCGUGCUGGGCUCCGGAGGCAGCAUUGCUUUGCGGCAUGAGGAACAACCCCAGCUGGCAGAGCCCUGAGCCUCCACCCCACCCCCGCCCUCAGCAGUUGCUCUUCACUUCUGCUCCUUCUGGGAGGACACCUCCUAGGUCUUGUAACUUUCUUGUAACCUGUGUGAGCUCUUUACUCCUUCCAGGAGAGACUGUAGUUAUUGUCUGGAGGCAAUAACUACAAGGCAGGUGCUUAAGAGGGAGGAAGUAUAAAAAGAUAAUUCAAACAUUUC
This is a long non-coding RNA of Meriones unguiculatus (Mongolian gerbil), 2860 nucleotides long. RefSeq lists it as uncharacterized. The record is from RefSeq and is a predicted model, not a curated record. Lineage: Eukaryota; Metazoa; Chordata; Mammalia; Rodentia; Muridae. The transcript has 3 exons.